RNAcentral lists this ribosomal RNA (301 nucleotides) under uncultured bacterium. RNAcentral describes it as "partial 16S ribosomal RNA". It matches the Rfam family "Bacterial small subunit ribosomal RNA", at positions 509 to 809 of the family's 1533-position model. The record is from RNAcentral.
CAGCCGCCGCGGGAACACGUAGGUGGCAAGCGUUAUCCGGAAUUAUUGGGCGUAAAGCGCGCGUAGGCGGUUUUUUAAGUCUGAUGUGAAAGCCCACGGCUCAACCGUGGAGGGUCAUUGGAAACUGGAAAACUUGAGUGCAGAAGAGGAAAGUGGAAUUCCAUGUGUAGCGGUGAAAUGCGCAGAGAUAUGGAGGAACACCAGUGGCGAAGGCGACUUUCUGGUCUGUAACUGACGCUGAUGUGCGAAAGCGUGGGGAUCAAACAGGAUUAGAGACCCCCGUAGUCCCUGUCUCUUAUAU